This is a long non-coding RNA of Drosophila sulfurigaster albostrigata, 1271 nucleotides long. RefSeq lists it as uncharacterized. The transcript has 4 exons. The record is from RefSeq and is a predicted model, not a curated record. NCBI's taxonomy places the organism in Eukaryota, Metazoa, Arthropoda, Insecta, Diptera, Drosophilidae.
CAGAAAAACAAAACAGCUGCCGCGCAAUUAAAAAUUGCGCUAAACAAAAAGGAAAUUCAAAAACAAACUGUUGACGACGGGCCACAGCUGGACCCUGGCGUACCCACCCUGCCUGAGAUGGCCACAUCGGCGCCAUCUCCCUUGCGUUGGCCACAACCUCAGUGGCUGCUCCUCAUCCGGCGUAGUGCUGUGGAAUUCCCUUCCCCUCCAUGCUGAGAAGACUCACACAACCAUGUUCAACGUACAAUAUUAAUAUAUAUUCGAAUUUCAUUGCAGCUACACGGAACAGUAUUCGAAGCAAAGGCAAAUAGAAAGAAAAAAAAAAGGCAAACAAAGCGGAACAACAAAGAAAUAAUAACGGAGUAGGGACAAUUAUAUAUGUCUUUAAUUCAAUUUAAUCUAAUUUAAAUAUUGCUCUAGUCUUCAAAAUUAAGUUCUUGUUGCUUAGUUUUAGGUGAGUUUUCGAAUUAUAUUCUCUUUACAUAUUUAUUAAUACUUCAAUUUGGUUUUUUUUUCAGACUGAAUUACGAAUUCUUUGGAGAGAGAAAUCUACGAUCGCCGAUGACGGUCGUCAUCAAUCGGGAGUUGACGGUGUCGCAUUAAAAUUGGACAGGGAACGGCUUGGCGCCGCCGCACUAACUCACUCGGACAGGCUCCUCCUCUUGCUCGUCGCUGGAUGCGUAGUUCGGCGUUCGCUGUUCCGCGCCGUCAAUGCCGCUCCUGUCGUUAAAGCGCCGUGUGUCUCGCGGAUGGUUGCCCGCACUUAUCCAGCGGUGAUUGUGGCCGCUGGUGUCGCUUGACCAAGUUCCUUCUCGCUCCCUCGCAGAUUGCUUGCUCCAAGCGGAGUUGGGUUACGAUCAACUGUUGCCCUCACACGAUUAAGCAGCUGAAGAUGCGAUGCUCUGCUGCUGCGGUUUUUUCUCUGUUGCCGUCGCGGCCCGAUUCAGAGUUGCUGGCGCUAUCGUUGUUGUUGUUGCUGCUCGAAGAAAGCGACUCGCGUCUUUGUUGAACCGGACUUGAGCUUCUUGAGCGUGGAGUAUUUGUUCUCGCCGGCCUUAAUCUGAGCCUCACUGAGUAUGUCCAGGUUGCUCUGGUUCUCCUCGAUCUUGUGCGGCGCUAUCUCGCUGCGCAGGGUUUUUUACUUUAUUUUAAUACUUUCACGCACGUUGUUGCCAUUAAUGGUUGGUUGUCAUUGCUCACACUGUUGUUAGUUUACGAUCUGGUAACGGAAUUUCUUUUUAUAUACUAAACAAAUCUUUAUUUUUGCGUAA